RNAcentral lists this long non-coding RNA (816 nucleotides) under Trifolium pratense (red clover). RNAcentral's name for it is "long non-coding RNA (TPRA_LNC001805)". The record is from RNAcentral. Lineage: Eukaryota; Viridiplantae; Streptophyta; Magnoliopsida; Fabales; Fabaceae.
GUCCCCAAUAUACCGUACAUAAGCAAAUAAUCUCUUCUCCCCAUCUGAAGAGAACUCAAGGCAUUAGGGUACCGGUUGAGGAAGAACCACACAAGCCGACGGGUGCUCGUCAUCCGAUAUCUCUCUCUUUGUGUUUCAGGAGUGCUACGUGUCACAUCAUCAACGGUUAGUAUCUAAUGGAUUCUUCUAUCCAGGUAUUCCUAAUACUAAUCCUUGAUAAAUCAACAUGUCGUAGAUCCUGUUUUAUAUACAUGCUCAAAUAUUUAUUUAGCUUCCGCACUAAAGUAAGAUUAUGGUUUUAAUCUUUGUUAUUGAGAGCAUGUUUUAUGAUUAAUAUUAAGUUAAAUUCCAACAUUAGCAACUACCAAACACAAUACACAUGGCAUGAACCGAAGAUUAAUUUGCAAACAUAAGCACAUAUCCAUCAAUUCAAUUAUCACAAGCUUAUAUGUACAACCGACGCACGAAAUUAUUUAUUUACUUUUUAUAAGGCUGAUUCCAUUGGUUCAUUUUAAGUGGCAAAAGUUAUAAUAUUAUUUCACAACAUAAUCCUACGUAGCAUGAGUUUAUGGGGAAAAAGUCCUUACCUUGUGUGCUUUCUUCCAAUCACUAUACUAGCUUAAAUUUGCAUUUACAUUGCACAUGCGAUAACCCACGCUCCAAAGUUCGAUUCGACAAUCCGACGGUAGACGAAGGAGAGAACGUGAUUCUAUGAUUGCAGCUAUGAAUUGAAUUCGGAAAGAAUGAGGUUAAGAAUAAAACUUGAUGAUAACUUGAAAUGAUGAAGGGAACUAGCUUUACAUGAGUUUGGUUUUG